GGUAUGAACGUAAUAUUCCGGCCUUUCACGCCGGUAACACGGGUUCGAAACCCGU
RNAcentral lists this transfer RNA (55 nucleotides) under Magnetofaba australis IT-1. It matches the Rfam family "tRNA", at positions 9 to 63 of the family's 71-position model. Rfam says of the family: Transfer RNA (tRNA) molecules are approximately 80 nucleotides in length. Their secondary structure includes four short double-helical elements and three loops (D, anti-codon, and T loops). Lineage: Bacteria; Pseudomonadati; Pseudomonadota; Magnetococcia; Magnetococcales; Magnetococcaceae. The record is from Rfam by way of RNAcentral.